UACAGAGGGUGCGAGCGUUGUUCGGAAUUACUGGGCGUAAAGCGUGCGCAGGCGGUUCGUUGUGUCGGUGGUGAAAGCCCCGGGCUCAACCUGGGAAUGGCCAUGGAAACUGGCGAACUGGAGUGUGGCAGAGGGGGGUGGAAUUCCGCGUGUAGCAGUGAAAUGCGUAGAGAUGCGGAGGAACACCGAUGGCGAAGGCAGCCCCCUGGGCUAGCACUGACGCUCAGGCACGAAAGCGUGGGGAGCAAACAGG
RNAcentral lists this ribosomal RNA (253 nucleotides) under uncultured bacterium. Its description in RNAcentral is "partial 16S ribosomal RNA". It matches the Rfam family "Bacterial small subunit ribosomal RNA", at positions 524 to 776 of the family's 1533-position model. The record is from RNAcentral.